ACACGCGUAUCAGAAGGACUCUCGGCAACGGAUAUCUCGGCUCUUGCAUCGAUGAAGAACGUAGCGAAAUGCGAUACUUGGUGUGAAUUGCAGAAUCCCGUGAACCAUCGAGUCUUUGAACGCAAGUUGCGCCCAAAGCCAUUAGGCUGAGGGCACGCC
This 159-nucleotide ribosomal RNA is filed under the name Crotalaria juncea (sunn hemp). RNAcentral describes it as "5.8S ribosomal RNA". The stretch from base 17 to 159 matches the Rfam family "5.8S ribosomal RNA". Rfam says of the family: 5.8S ribosomal RNA (5.8S rRNA) is a component of the large subunit of the eukaryotic ribosome. It is transcribed by RNA polymerase I as part of the 45S precursor that also contains 18S and 28S rRNA. Functionally, it is thought that 5.8S rRNA may be involved in ribosome translocation. The record is from RNAcentral. Lineage: Eukaryota; Viridiplantae; Streptophyta; Magnoliopsida; Fabales; Fabaceae.